This 779-nucleotide ribosomal RNA is filed under the name uncultured Neocallimastigales. Its description in RNAcentral is "partial large subunit ribosomal RNA". It matches the Rfam family "Eukaryotic large subunit ribosomal RNA", at positions 23 to 634 of the family's 3401-position model. The record is from RNAcentral. Lineage: Eukaryota; Fungi; Neocallimastigomycota; Neocallimastigomycetes; Neocallimastigales.
AGAGAUGUGUGAUGACGCAUAUCAAUAAGCGGAGGAAAAGAAACUAACAAGGAUUCCCUUAGUAACGGCGAGUGAAGCGGGAAGAGCUCAAAUUUGAAAUCUUCAAGGUUCUACCUUGACGAAUUGUAGUUUAUAGAAGUGUUUUCUGUUAGUGGAGUGGCAAAAGUUCUUUGGAAUAGGACAUCAUAGAGGGUGAGAAUCCCGUAUUUGGUCAUUACUUCCUAGCGUUGUGAUACACUUUCAAAGAGUCGGAUUGUUUGGGAAUGCAGUCCAAAAUGGGUGGUAAAUUUCAUCUAAAGCUAAAUAUUGGCGAGAGACCGAUAGCGAACAAGUACCGUGAGGGAAAGAUGAAAAGAACUUUGAAAAGAGAGUUAAACAGUACGUGAAAUUGUCAAAAGGGAAGCGUUUGACACCAGGUGUUGUUUUUCCGAAAAUCAAUUACGAAUGUUUUGUUUUUGAGGAGUUAUGACUUCAUCGGCUUGCUCCUUUCUUUAUGAAACUUUCUUAAUGCACUUUUCGGUUAACAAGUCAACAUCAAUUUCCUUUUGUUGUAAAAGGGUAAGAGGAAGGUGGCUUUACUUUCGGAGUAAAGUGUUUAUAGCCUUUUACCUCUGCAAUCGGAGAGAUUGAGGUCUGCAGCGUAGAUCCUUCGGGGUUAGAUACAUUUGUGCUAAGUUAUAGCUUUUCAUAGACAACUUGUUGACUAUGUUAAGUCUUGUAGCUUACUCGCAGUAUGCUAUUUUACCUACGCUUAGGAUGUUGAGUCGUAGAGCACGCAG